RNAcentral lists this long non-coding RNA (483 nucleotides) under Coffea arabica (coffee). RNAcentral's name for it is "long non-coding RNA (CARA_LNC004388)". Lineage: Eukaryota; Viridiplantae; Streptophyta; Magnoliopsida; Gentianales; Rubiaceae. The record is from RNAcentral.
UGACCAGUGUUUAGUAUUUCGAUCAUAUCUCAGGCUACAAAGCUCACAUUUGGAUGAUUCUUGAAGCAUUGGAAAGAUAACUCAAAUGGCUACAACUUUUGUGUUUUACACAAAAGUCAGUUCGGCCUUUAUGAUAGAGAAAAUCGCAGAUGAAGUAAGGCCAAAGUGAAUACGCGAGUACACAAAACGUGACUUGUAACCGCGUUUUGUGUAGGCGCGUUUUCUGGCCGCAAUUCUGCAAUUUGCUCAGUCAAUUCUCUUAUGUUCAAACUACUUUCCAGCUACAAUCUGCAAGAGAAUUCGGUGCACAUGCCUCAGAAGACAAAAGGGCAAUAAAGAUGGCUUAUUUUCAAGUCAAAAACAUUGAUUAUUGACUAUCCUAACAAAGUUAGAUUUGAAAAUCAAAAGUUGGAAUUUGACUUGGAAAAAGAGAGCCUUUGAGUAGUUUAUAUGCAGAGACAUUUGGGAGCCAAAAGAGGAUCA